GAUGAAGAACGUAGUAAAAUGCGAUACUUGGUGUGAAUUGCAGAAUCCCGUGAACCAUCGAGUUUUUGAACGCAAGUUGCGCCCGAAGCCUUUUGGCCGAGGGCACGUCUGCCUGGGCAUCACGCAUCGCGUCGCCCCCCACAAAUUCUCCUCAGGGGAGCUUGUGUUUCGGGGGCGGAUACUGGUCUCCCGUGCUCAUGGCGCGGUUGGCCGAAAUAGGAGUCCCUUCGAUGGACGCACGAACUAGUGGUGGUCGUAAAAACCCUCGUCUUUUGUUUCGUGCCGUUGGUCGCGAGGGAAGCUCUUCAAAAACCCCAGCGCGUCGUCUCUUGACGGCGCUUCGACCGCGACCCCAGGUCAGGCGGGACUACCCGCUGAGUUUAAGCAUAUCAAUAAGCGGAGGA
RNAcentral lists this unclassified non-coding RNA (404 nucleotides) under soil metagenome. RNAcentral's name for it is "partial contains 5.8S ribosomal RNA, internal transcribed spacer 2, and large subunit ribosomal RNA". The stretch from base 1 to 122 matches the Rfam family "5.8S ribosomal RNA", at positions 35 to 154 of the family's 154-position model. The record is from RNAcentral.